GUCGUUAUGAAUACUGCUGUUUAAUUUGAAAUAUCUUUUUCCUUUGUUUCCUUUACAAUUAUUAAUUUUAAGUGAAAUCGCUUAGUAAUCUGCAUUUUCAAUUGUCUUAUAUCAGUGUUGAGUACUCUUGGUCUCACAUAUUGACUUACUGGAAAACAAUCAAUUCUACUAGCUACUUUAUUAUUUUUUUCUCAGGGUAUAUUGGGUUUUAUUUGGAUUGAUUGCUCUCCCGAUAUCAAUAACUUUAAGUUUUUUUUAUCAAAGAUUUCAACCCAUUUGUAUUAUUUUUUAAUUU
RNAcentral lists this long non-coding RNA (295 nucleotides) under Mytilus galloprovincialis (Mediterranean mussel). The record is from RNAcentral. Lineage: Eukaryota; Metazoa; Mollusca; Bivalvia; Mytilida; Mytilidae.